This 590-nucleotide ribosomal RNA is filed under the name Ophiostoma montium. RNAcentral describes it as "eukaryotic LSU rRNA". It matches the Rfam family "Eukaryotic large subunit ribosomal RNA", at positions 1 to 594 of the family's 3401-position model. The record is from RNAcentral. Lineage: Eukaryota; Fungi; Ascomycota; Sordariomycetes; Ophiostomatales; Ophiostomataceae.
CAAGGUUGACCUCGGAUCAGGUAGGACUACCCGCUGAACUUAAGCAUAUCAAUAAGCGGAGGAAAAGAAACCAACAGGGAUUGCCCCAGUAACGGCGAGUGAAGCGGCAACAGCUCAAAUUUGAAAUCUGGCCUUCGGGUCCGAGUUGUAAUUUGGAGAGGAUGCUUCUGGCGCGGCGCCGUCCGAGUUCCUUGGAACAGGACGCCAUAGAGGGUGAGAGCCCCGUACGGGCGGACGCCUAGCCUCUGUGAAGCUCCUUCGACGAGUCGAGUAGUUUGGGAAUGCUGCUCAAAAUGGGAGGUAAAUUUCUUCUAAAGCUAAAUACCGGCCAGAGACCGAUAGCGCACAAGUAGAGUGAUCGAAAGAUGAAAAGCACUUUGAAAAGAGGGUUAAAAAGUACGUGAAAUUGUUGAAAGGGAAGCGCCUGUGACCAGACUUGCUGCCCGCGGAUCAUCCGGCGUUCUUCGCCGGUGCACUCCGCGGGCGGCAGGCCAGCAUCGGUUUUCCUGGGGGGUCAAAGGUCGCGGGAACGUGGCUCCUUCGGGAGUGUUAUAGCCCGCGGCGUCAUGCCUCUGGGGGGACCGAGGACC